Molecule: ribosomal RNA, 180 nt
Filed under: uncultured Staphylococcus sp.
Lineage: Bacteria; Bacillati; Bacillota; Bacilli; Caryophanales; Staphylococcaceae
Description: partial 16S ribosomal RNA
Rfam family: Bacterial small subunit ribosomal RNA
Source: RNAcentral
GAGCUAAUACCGGAUAAUAUAUUGAACCGCAUGGUUCAAUAGUGAAAGACGGUUUUGCUGUCACUUAUAGAUGGAUCCGCGCCGCAUUAGCUAGUUGGUAAGGUAACGGCUUACCAAGGCAAUGAUGCGUAGCCGACCUGAGAGGGUGAUCGGCCACACUGGAACUGAGACACGGUCCAG